AGCUCUCUGCUAAAGGUUACUGAAGUAUAGAGGGUGAAUUCUGCCCAAUGGUUGUAUAGUGAAACUGAGGACUAACGUCUAAGGCGAAACCCAACUGAAUGGCCGCGGUAACUCUGACCGUGAUAAUGUAGCACAAUAAAUAGCCAAUUAAUUGUUGGCGGGUAUGAAUGGAACCACGAGGGUCUUACUGUCUCAAGAGGAAAGCCGAUGAAAUUAUAGUUGUAGUGAAGAUACUACAUAAACAUUGUAAGACGAAAAGACCCUAUCGAGCUUUACUGGAUACCGAUAGCGUUAACUUAAAAUGAUCAAUACUAAGUAUCCUAAUUUUGAGUUAAUAAUUUUUGUUGGUUGGACAGUUUAGUUGGGGCGACUACCUUUGAAUAAGAAACGAAGGCGAGCUUAUGGUAUAUAAAGUUAAUCUCAUUAGCCUGACAGUGAGGGGGACACCCCUAGCUGGCACAAGGACUAUGUCCUAUGUGGGCGAUAAUGACCCGAUAUGAUUGUCUAAAAUAAAUAUCGAAAGCGGAUAAAAGCUACCGUAGGGAUAACAGCGUAAUAUUGUCGGAGAGUUCUUAUCGAGGACAGUGUUUGCGACCUCGAUGUUGAAUUGCGGUGCCCUGGUGCUGUAGAAGGUACCUUAGGUUGGUCUGUUCGACCAUGAAAACCG
Molecule: ribosomal RNA, 667 nt
Filed under: Muriceopsis flavida
Lineage: Eukaryota; Metazoa; Cnidaria; Anthozoa; Malacalcyonacea; Pterogorgiidae
Description: partial 16S ribosomal RNA
Rfam family: Bacterial large subunit ribosomal RNA
Source: RNAcentral